UACGUAGGUGGCAAGCGUUGUCCGGAUUUACUGGGCGUAAAGGGCGUGCGGGCGGUUUGUUAAGUCUAGGGUGAAAGCUCCCGGCUCAACUGGGAGAGGUCCUUGGAUACUGGCAGACUUGAGGAGGGUAGAGGAGAGUGGAAUUCCCGGUGUAGUGGUGAAAUGCGCAGAUAUCGGGAGGAACACCAAUGGCGAAGGCAGCUCGCUGGGACGUUACUGACGCUGAGACGCGAAAGCGUGGGGAGCAAACAGG
Molecule: ribosomal RNA, 253 nt
Filed under: uncultured bacterium
Lineage: Bacteria
Description: partial 16S ribosomal RNA
Rfam family: Bacterial small subunit ribosomal RNA
Source: RNAcentral